Molecule: ribosomal RNA, 432 nt
Filed under: Mammaliicoccus sp.
Lineage: Bacteria; Bacillati; Bacillota; Bacilli; Caryophanales; Staphylococcaceae
Description: bacterial SSU rRNA
Rfam family: Bacterial small subunit ribosomal RNA
Source: RNAcentral
GGCUCAGGAUGAACGCUGGCGGCGUGCCUAAUACAUGCAAGUCGAGCGAACAGAUGAGAAGCUUGCUUCUCUGAUGUUAGCGGCGGACGGGUGAGUAACACGUGGGUAACCUACCUAUAAGACUGGGAUAACUCCGGGAAACCGGGGCUAAUACCGGAUAAUAUUUUGAACCGCAUGGUUCAAUAGUGAAAGACGGUUUCGGCUGUCACUUAUAGAUGGACCCGCGCCGUAUUAGCUAGUUGGUAAGGUAACGGCUUACCAAGUCGACGAUACGUAGCCGACCUGAGAGGGUGAUCGGCCACACUGGAACUGAGACACGGUCCAGACUCCUACGGGAGGCAGCAGUAGGGAAUCUUCCGCAAUGGGCGAAAGCCUGACGGAGCAACGCCGCGUGAGUGAUGAAGGUCUUCGGAUCGUAAAACUCUGUUGUUA